Non-coding RNA from Trichonephila clavipes, 72 nucleotides. The record is from the annotation of a GenBank genome assembly. Lineage: Eukaryota; Metazoa; Arthropoda; Arachnida; Araneae; Nephilidae.
UACUUGGUGGCGCCACAGUUGCGCGUCUGACUUCAGAUCAGAAGGAUGUGUGUUCAAAUCACGUCCGGGUCA